AUGGCGAUAAAAGGAAGCGGUAGUCAGACUUCCAGCUCCACGACAAGUGUGGAUGACCGCAGCAGUUGGGACCUUAUCUGGAAAGCUAAAAUCCCUGGAAAAAUCAAAUUAUUCGGAUGGAGGGUGGCCACAAACACCCUAGCUACCAAGUCAAACAAAUGCAGACGAACGAUUGUCACAAACAGCACCUGUGAUAUAUGCGGCAAUGCGGAGGAAGAUGAGUACCAUGCUGUGGUGUCGUGCACAAAAAGUAGAGCUCUAAGACAAGCAAUGAGGAAUCAUUGGAGGCUCCCGAAAGAAAAUGCGUUCUGGUACACAGGAGAGGAUUGGCUCCAAAACCUUCUGAAUACAUGCGAUACUGACACCCGGAACAAAAUCCUAAUUAUGCUAUGGCGAGCAUGGUUUCUCAGGGAUAAUAUAAUCCAUAGUGAUGGAAAGGAGACG
Molecule: ribosomal RNA, 444 nt
Filed under: Triticum aestivum (bread wheat)
Lineage: Eukaryota; Viridiplantae; Streptophyta; Magnoliopsida; Poales; Poaceae
Description: partial small subunit ribosomal RNA
Source: RNAcentral